RNAcentral lists this ribosomal RNA (845 nucleotides) under uncultured bacterium. RNAcentral describes it as "bacterial SSU rRNA". It matches the Rfam family "Bacterial small subunit ribosomal RNA", at positions 80 to 903 of the family's 1533-position model. The record is from RNAcentral.
UCGGUCCCGAGUAGAGUGGCGCACGGGUGAGUAACGCGUAAGUGAUCUACCCCUGUAUCUGGGAUAACUGUGGGAAACUGCAGCUAAUACCGGAUACGUUCAUGUAGUUGCGAUUAUGUGAAGAAAGAUGGCCUCUGAUUCAAGCUAUUGUACAGGGAGGAGCUUGCGUACCAUUAGCUAGUUGGUAGGGUAAUGGCCUACCAAGGCAACGAUGGUUAGCGGGUCUGAGAGGAUGAUCCGCCACACUGGAACUGAAACACGGACCAGACUCCUACGGGAGGCAGCAGUGAAGAAUAUUGCGCAAUGGGGGCAACCCUGACGCAGCGACGCCGCGUGGAUGAUGAAGGCCUUCGGGUCGUAAAAUCCUGUCAGAUGGGAAGAAGUGUGCGAUGGCUAAUACCUGUUGCAUUUGACGGUACCAUCAGAGGAAGCACCGGCUAACUCCGUGCCAGCAGCCGCGGUAAUACGGAGGGUGCAAGCGUUGUUCGGAAUUACUGGGCGUAAAGCGCGCGUAGGCGGUUUGUUAAGUCAGAUGUGAAAGCCCAAGGCUCAACCUUGGACGUGCAUUUGAAACUGGCAGACUUGAGUAUUGGAGGGGGUGGUGGAAUUCCCGGUGUAGAGGUGAAAUUCGUAGAUAUCGGGAGGAAUACCGGUGGCGAAGGCGACCACCUGGCCAAAUACUGACGCUGAGGUGCGAAAGCGUGGGGAGCAAACAGGAUUAGAUACCCUGGUAGUCCACGCCGUANACGAUGAGAACUAGGUGUUGGGACGGUUGAUCGUCUCAUNGCCGCAGCUAACGCAUUAAGUUCUCCGCCUGGGGAGUACGGUCGCAAGAUUAAAACUCA